Molecule: long non-coding RNA, 406 nt
Organism: Chiloscyllium plagiosum (whitespotted bambooshark)
Lineage: Eukaryota; Metazoa; Chordata; Chondrichthyes; Orectolobiformes; Hemiscylliidae
Source: RefSeq, a predicted model, not a curated record
UGUGCGACUGCCGAUCAGCUGUAACCAGAUUGUAGCAAAAAUCAACCUGUUCAGAGAUGUUGUUACACACCUCUGGAUUAGAUGGGGCUUGAACCCAGACCUCCUUGGCUCAGAGGUAGGGAUAUUGCCACAAGCCUAUCCCCCUUGAAUCGCAGUUUUGGACACUAAGUGAGGAUUGCAAAUAAAGGACAAAGACUAAAAGGAGUCUCUGCACCUGGUCAGCCUCUCCACACAUCCUUCCUCCCCGUCUCCAAAAACGAUACUGGAAAUGCAGUGGAAUAUUCUAUCUAACUGUUCUAUCAGCUUCCCACUAAGCAACAACACAGCUGAUGUAGACUGCGAGGGCAUCCUCUGUGACAAAGUGAUUCAGGGCAUAAAAGAAACGCAAGCAAUACUGGAGAUUGGC